Non-coding RNA from Schistosoma curassoni, 45 nucleotides. The record is from Rfam. Lineage: Eukaryota; Metazoa; Platyhelminthes; Trematoda; Strigeidida; Schistosomatidae.
AUCCAGAUGACAAGUCUCAGAUUGGACGAAACGCGCGUCCUGGAU